ACUGCUGCCAAAUGUAGACUUAUCCCCUCACCAGUUCCAGACCCUGCUAUGACUUUAUUCCUGAGGACCUGCACAAACCUACACAAGCCAGACCCCCAGCCUAAGUCAGUGUUGACUUAGUUCAUCCCCACAGAUCCUUCCAGCUGGAAAUACAGCUUGUGGGCCCACAGAGGAUCCAUCCAGCAUGAUUCACCCAGCCUCUGCCUCAGGUCUGCAGCAGCCACCAGCCCAAAUCCUCCCUCUAUCUCCAGCUCUACCCUACCCCAGGAACUCCUGUCAUUCCCAACCCUUGAGCAAGCCAGAUUCUUGUCCUCCUUCCCCAUGAAACCUCUGGCAGGCUCUCCAGGGGUGAGCAGCAGCAGCAGCAGCAGCAACAAACACCAGAACACCGGUAUCAACCUGGCUCCAUCUCCUCUUAGCAGUAAAUAUGGGAAUAAGACAAAGUCCAGGACAAAAAGGAAUCCCUCUGGAAGAACUGAGAAUUCCCAGUGUGCCACUAGCAGAAGCACGUACUGAAAAUUAUCAACUUUGAGAUAAAUUAAAAAAGAGAUACCAGGAGCCAUAGCAUCAAUGGGUAGGAAAUAGUGAAGAGCAAGAAAGAAAGAGAAGAAAGAAAAGCACAAGACUUCUCCCUGCAAAGUGUCGUUAACAAUCCCUUUGCUGUGAGCACGAGGAUCCUGAAGCCAAGACUGUGGCCACAUCAUGGUGACAAUCUGAGUAGCAGCAUUUGCAAUUUUUUCUGUACAUCUAGAUAAGAAAUGCUAAAGAAAAACAUAGGUGUUAAGAGAUUUACCUGGGAAAUUUGCAGCAAUGUUGAUUUCAAACCUGGUUUGCUGCUCUGGAAAUCUGG
RNAcentral lists this long non-coding RNA (850 nucleotides) under Cyanistes caeruleus (blue tit). RNAcentral describes it as "lncRNA (ENSCCEG00000011345.1)". Lineage: Eukaryota; Metazoa; Chordata; Aves; Passeriformes; Paridae. The record is from RNAcentral.